UACGUAGGGUGCAAGCGUUGUCCGGAAUUAUUGGGCGUAAAGAGCUCGUAGGCGGUUUGUCGCGUCUGCUGUGAAAACUCGGGGCUUAACCCCGGGCCUGCAGUGGGUACGGGCAGACUAGAGUGCGGUAGGAGAGACUGGAAUUCCUGGUGUAGCGGUGAAAUGCGCAGAUAUCAGGAGGAACACCGGUGGCGAAGGCGGGUCUCUGGGCCGUAACUGACGCUGAGGAGCGAAAGCGUGGGGAGCGACCAGG
This 253-nucleotide ribosomal RNA is filed under the name uncultured bacterium. Its description in RNAcentral is "partial 16S ribosomal RNA". It matches the Rfam family "Bacterial small subunit ribosomal RNA", at positions 524 to 776 of the family's 1533-position model. The record is from RNAcentral.